GCCAUAGGAGCCUGACAGCUCAGGGGCUGCUGAGGAAGAGUUGGGACACUGAAAAGGCUAGGCCAGCUGACACGGGGCACACAGCCUUGGGGACCAGCAGAGCAGAGAAGGCAACCUGGAAGAGGACUGCCAGGCUGCUAACAGACAAAGCAGUCACUGAACUCCGUAACCAGGAAGAACGGUUCUGUCCUGGAAAGAAGGGAGGAGAAGGAGGAGACGAGAAUACUGUCCCAAGAGUGAUCCGCAGCCGGCCACUCCACGAUGGCUGGUCCAGCUGCCAUUCUGAGGCCCUGUGAGGACAAAAAAAACCACUGAGCCUCCUGCUCCAUCCCUCCAGAGAUGGAGAAGAGAAUGGGGAGGGCUGCUUGCUCAAGAACACAGCAGGCCAGGAUGGAAACUAAUGUCUUUGAAGGUCACACAACUUCUGCCGGGCAUCUGGACUCUUCUGACGAUGUAGAGGGAAAGAGCCAAACAAUGUGUGCACAAGCUGAUGCUGGGUCACACACCGGGGCGGCUGAGACGGCUGAGCAGGUAAGGCAACCACUGUUAACCCUGACAACCUGCUUGUGACCCCUGGGACUCCCAAUGGCAAGAGAGAACCAACUCCCAGACUGUCCUUUGAUUGUCACUUGUAUAACAGCACACGUGCACAGUCAGACACACACGAAUAAAUGUGAUCAAAACAC
Peromyscus eremicus (cactus mouse) is the source of this 686-nucleotide long non-coding RNA. RefSeq lists it as uncharacterized. The transcript is spliced from 2 exons. The record is from RefSeq and is a predicted model, not a curated record. NCBI's taxonomy places the organism in Eukaryota, Metazoa, Chordata, Mammalia, Rodentia, Cricetidae.